Symphalangus syndactylus (siamang) is the source of this 3295-nucleotide long non-coding RNA. RefSeq lists it as uncharacterized. Lineage: Eukaryota; Metazoa; Chordata; Mammalia; Primates; Hylobatidae. The record is from RefSeq and is a predicted model, not a curated record.
AAGCAGAGAUGCACUUCCGGGUUGGGCGGGGCCCACUCUUAGAGCUGGGCCCGCUUUGGCCCUUUCUGGCCGUUAGCGCGGCUUGGGGUUAUUCAAUGCACUUCUUGUUUGCAGAUGGUGAAGAGCGCUCGCCCAGUAGCAGAACCAAACCCGGGCUUCUGGUCUCAGCUCCAGAAGUAUGAGGAGGCCCUCCAGGCCCAGUCCUGCCUGCAAGGAGAGCCCCCAGCCUUAGGGUUGGGCCCUGAGGCUUGAAGCGUGAAGGCCUGCUGCCUAGAGGAAGGAUGUUCCUGCACGGAUACAGAAGGCUGGUCUUUACCCUUCUUCCUCACUGUCAUAUCGAGUUUUCCUUUUUGUGUGUGUGUGUGAAACAUAGUGCUUUUAAUUUUAUAUUUCUGGCUGAGCUGAUGCACAAAUUAUCUUACAGACACAAAAAGAAAUACAUUUGGUAAAACAUUGAAGACGAAUUAAGAAAAAGCGAAUGGGGUCCUCCAUUAUUUAUACUCCAAAAUCUUGAGUGUUUGGGGAUGCUGGCGCAUUCUACCAGUCUCAGUGAAGGACAUGAGUACAGACUACAGUAAUCAGAAUGAGUCAUAGGUGAAAUCAGGAAAAGCAACUCUUCUUGUGUUUAUUUUUAGUAGUGUCAUAAGAACGGACUAGUUCUUCCUGCGUGACUACAGAUGCUUCUGUUUGAGAAAAUGCAUACCCACGUGGGACAUUUAGAUCAAGAAAGCUGUUAAUGAAGACAUUGUUGAAGGGCAACUUGGGUGAUUGGGGAAUUAUUCUCUUCACCAGCCCCUCUGCAACACAGCUGGAGCUCUCCCAUAGGAGUUCAGACAAUUACGGACAUCGUCUUUCUUUCCUUUCCUUUCUCUUUUCUUCUUUCUUUUCUUUCUUUCUUUCGUUUGUUUGAGACAGAGUCUAUGUUGCCCAGGCUGGAGUGCAGUGGGGCAAUCCCGGCUCACUGCAACCUCCGCCUCCCUGGUUCAAGUGAUUCUCCUGCCUCAGCCUCCUGAGUAGCUGGGACUACAGCACGACUCCCACGCAGCUCACUACGGACAUGACCAGAGCAGCAGGAACCAAAGGGAGACCCGCCCAUUGUCACUCUCUUAACCUCUGAUCUCGAGGUGAUUUGACAGAAUUCUGCAGGAAUUUGGUUUCAAAGCCAGUGUAAACAACUGUGCCAGUGAUCCACUGAGCAUUUCUUUUUUUUUUUUUUCUUGAGACGGAGUCUCACUCUGGCGCCCAGGCUGGAGUGGGUGCCAUCUUGGCUCACUGCAAGCUCCACCUCCCGGCUUCCUGCCAUUCUCCUGCUUCAGCCUGCAAACUCCACCUCCCAGCUUCGUGCCAUUAUCCUUCAGCCUCCUGAGUAGCUGGGACUACAAGCGCCCGCCACCGCGCCUGGCUAAUUUCUUUGUAUUUUUGGUAGAGACGGGGUUUCACUGUGUUAGCCAGGAUGAUUUCAAUCUCCUGACCUCGUGAUCUGCCUGCCUCGGCCUCCCAAAGCGCUGGGAUUACAGACGUGAGCCACCUCGCCCGGCCAAUCCACUGAGCAUUUCUAAGCUGUGUACCUCUUAACAAGACCGGUCAGGCCCAAUUGGAACAGGGCUUUUACCACUUAGGCGGAAGCUCAGCUGUUGAAAUGACGAUCAGGUGCUUCACGGUCUAUUUUUCCAGAUAGGCCUAACAGCUGGUUUUCUGUUUGCAUUUCAGCUGUUUCUGGCAAAGCCUGCCAUGUCUUACAUUUGUCUGUCCAUCCAGAUUAGAUGUUGCUAUAUAAACACGUCGACUGAGGCUCACUGGAACACAUCAGGACUGUGUCUGCUGGAAGGAGCUCCCCGUUCGAGGCCUUCACAGUGUCACCCACAUUCACCUCUUUCCACUUAAUCGUGUGCCAUGAAUCCUGUCAUAACAGUUUUGUGUUCCUUAACUAUUUUGUCUGCCAUGGCAUUUAUGAUGUAUAACCUCUUUAAUGCCUGAAAACAUAAGAAUCAUCAUCAAAGGCAAGACGGUUGCAUAUUUUCCCGUUGGAGACACGUCUGGAAUUUGCUGCAAUAAAGUAAUAAGAAGAAAGCAUUGGCAGCUUUGGUAAACUGCAGAUUCAAAAAUCCAGGGAGAAAUGAGCACACGCUGUACUUGGCUGUACAUAUAAUUGUUGACUAUGGGUUGCAGAAAUUUCUCUCAAGCAUCAUCACCACUUUUGCUCAGUUAUCAGUAGUAAUAACAGCAAUCAAAACUGAAACUGCUGCAGAUGCCUCUAGGAAGUAUGGUUUUCCAUCUUUCCUACUGCUUUCUUCACAAGAGAAUCCACCUCGGUGGCAGGCUGAAGGGCCCAGUCUGCAGUCCUGCCACCAGUGCCCUCUGAGCUCCAUGGUUCCACUGCACCAUGGCCGCCCACUGCAUUCACCUCCACACUGUUUUCAUUUUUUCCAGUUAAGCCCAUCUUCCUGAAACGCAGCUCAAGAGGGUCUCUGUCCCCUCUUGAUGGUGGGGCAGGGGUCUGUGCAUCAGACCACACAGACCCCUGCACCACCAUCUGCCCCAUCCUCUCCCUCUGGUCAGCUCAGCUUAUUAAACAAGCCUUGGUCAGGAAAAUCUAAACCACUUAAGGAACUGGGUAGAAAGAAACAAUGCAGGGAGAAGGCGGCUGGGGAGCCAAGUACAGGAGAUGAGACAUAGGGGAGUCACAGGGACCUGCCACCCAGAUCCCCACUGCCUGAUGUCCUGGCUCUGGAGGACACCUGGAGCUGCCAGCAGAGCCUCCUGCCCACCAGCUGCUGAAGCCACAAUGCAUCUCCUUCCUCCCACCUCCCGGACCUCUCACUGGUCUCAUCUGGGCACCGAACACGGGAAGCCCCUCCUGUGACAGGCAGGGGAGAAGGAGGCUGUGCUGACAGACGGCCCGGUGAGGGAAUCCGGGAGGCCUCCAGCAUCUGCACCCCUCUCCUACUUUGACCUCUCUGUUUCACCAACAUUGCACCCCAACCUGAAGUCACAUAGCUACUGUCAAGCCAACGAGGUGCUGCCUCUUCCGCCGUGUGAGGGUGGAGCCCCAUAAGCCACCACUGGAGGCAUCUGAGCAUGUUGAUUCCUUCUCUAGUUCAGACACAACCUCUCCUGGACAUCCUGUGGCCUAAAGACUACCCUAGAAUCAACACUCCUUAAAUAAGAGUGGGGGAAGAAAAGGAAAAUGUGUGUAAUACAUGUGAAUCACAACGUAGUCAUUGGUUAAUAUAUACAACUACGUGUAUUUACAUUCUGUAUGCGGCAAUGAGUAAAAUACUGUGGUUGGCGCUUA